GCUUGUCGCCCCAGGCACGCGCUGGCUGCGCUGGUGCCUGGAGCCGCCCCUGUAUACUGCUAACAGUUAAUGGGGAUUCUCCUUCAUCUCAUCUGUCAGUGACGUGAGUUUUUCAGGCAGCAGGAUCUGGGCUCUGUCCCUGCCCUGCCAGACAUUUCUGAGCAGCUGCCGGAUGCAGCAUAGAGACAGCCUAGGAAGCCGUGGGCUUGUGACAAUGUUGUUCCCUGGCAUCUGUAAUGGAGGGAUGGGGGAGCGGGAGCGAAGAUGGAAGGACAAAGGGUUCUAGUCCCAGUUGGCUUCAGGUCCCAGUGGGGCCCUGAGUCAGCCUCAGUGGACCCCCUUUGUAAAGGGCUCCCCCUCGGAGAGCACUGCAGCCCCUGAACUGGGAGAGGCUGUGAUGCCUGAUGCCCCCUGGGAACACACGGGACUUGGCACCUAAACCCCCGGACUCCUCACUCCCAGGGCUUUUCCUUUCCUGUGCCCAGGAAGCGACUCUCAGUUUCAACAUCAUCACCUACGUGGGACUGACCCUCUCCCUGCUGUGCCUCUUCCUCGCCAUCCUCACCUUCCUCCUGUGCCGCUCCAUCCGCAGCAUCAGCACCUCCCUCCACCUGCAGCUCUGCCUCUGCCUCUUCCUGGCCGACCUGCUCUUCCUCACCACGGUGACUCCCACCGUCAGUCCGCAAUGUGCACCUGCAGGACCCUCCAUAGACCGAGGAACCUGCCGUCUCUGGGUCACAGAGCGCUAUAACUGGAGAGCUGUGCUAACAAGAAUCCCGGUGUGACCCCCCGGCAGGUCUCCCCCAUACUCAGCAUUUCCGUUCCCCACCGCAGUGUCCCUGGGCUCUCUGUCUCCCCCAGGUGGCGUGUGCUGUCAUUGCUGGCCUCCUACACUACCUCUUCCUGGCCUCCUUCAGCUGGAUGUUCCUGGAGGGCUGCACCUCUUCCUCACCGUCAGGAACCUGAAGGUCGUGAAUUACACCAGCGCCAGCCGGUUCAAGAAGAGAUUCAUGUACCCGUUCGGCUACGGAUUCCCAGCCCUGGUGGUGGCUAUUUCUGCAGCGGUGAAUCCUGACGGCUACGGAACUUCCAAACACUGCUGGCUAAGCCUGGACAGAGGCUUUCGUUGGAGCUUCCUGGGUCCAGUCUGUGCCAUAAUCCUGGUGGGUACCUCCCAGAACCACAGGGCCCCAUUCUCCUCUCACCUCUGCCACCCCAUUGA
Chrysemys picta bellii (western painted turtle) is the source of this 1222-nucleotide non-coding RNA. Lineage: Eukaryota; Metazoa; Chordata; Testudines; Emydidae. The record is from RefSeq and is a predicted model, not a curated record.